CACGUAGGGGGCAAGCGUUGUCCGGAUUUAUUGGGCGUAAAGAGCUCGUAGGCGGUUCGGUAAGUCGGGUGUGAAACCUCCAGGCUCAACCUGGAGACGCCACCCGAUACUGCUGUGACUAGAGUCCGGUAGGGGAGCGUGGAAUUCCUGGUGUAGCGGUGAAAUGCGCAGAUAUCAGGAGGAACACCGGUGGCGAAGGCGGAUCUCUGGGCCUUGCCUGACGCUGAGGCGCGAAAGCUAGGGGAGCGAACAGG
RNAcentral lists this ribosomal RNA (254 nucleotides) under uncultured bacterium. Its description in RNAcentral is "partial 16S ribosomal RNA". It matches the Rfam family "Bacterial small subunit ribosomal RNA", at positions 524 to 776 of the family's 1533-position model. The record is from RNAcentral.